Molecule: long non-coding RNA, 378 nt
Filed under: Panax ginseng (ginseng)
Lineage: Eukaryota; Viridiplantae; Streptophyta; Magnoliopsida; Apiales; Araliaceae
Description: long non-coding RNA (PGIN_LNC010216)
Source: RNAcentral
UAUAAAUUAUAUAAAACUUCAUGAUGAGUGGUUUUUAUAUCAUAAUUUUAGUACCUUUGACUUAUUGAAAUUGCCUGUUUUUGAGUUUAUUAUGUUUCUUUUUAUUUGUUUUAGUGUGUUUUUGUAGAAUUAGCAUUUGGAAGAGGAAUAAGGGGAAAUGAUGUGAUUGCAGCUAACUUAUUGUAGUUUUCGUGCACAAUUGGAUCAAGAUUGGUUCGAGAGUGUUCGGCAUGCGUUCAUGUGCAAACAGACACGGUCGUGUGGGGAAAAGUUGUGCAUAUUUUGGGGAUAAAGAGUUAAUCAGGGCAAGGAAAGCAAGCUGCUAGACAAGGAGGGCUGCAGCGCAGGAAUACAUGGGGCAGCGCAGCAGCGCUUGGU